CAGGCCAGACAGACAGUCGCCGCGUAACGCGUAAGGCUUACGGGGAGGAAAGUCCGGGCUCCAAAGAGCAGAAUGCCGGCUAACGGCCGGGCGUGGUAACACGACGGAAAGUGGAACAGAGAGCAGAACCGCCGAUGGCCAUGAUUCUCGCCAGCCUUUUGUAUCAUUGCAAAAUGAAAUGCCGCAGCCAUGAGUAUGGCAAGGCAAGCAGGGUGCAAAAGGCUGGCGGGAAGGCACAGGUAAGGGUGAAAAGGUGCGGUAAGAGCGCACCGUGCGGCUGGUAACAGUCCGCAGCAGGCUAAACCCCAUUCGGAGCAAGACCAAACAGAACGCAUUGACGCGACUCGCCGAGCGUUCGGGUAGGUUGCUGGAGCGCAUCAGCAAUGGUGCGACUAGAGGAAUGACUGUCCAACGACAGAACCCGGCUUAUCGUUUGACCUGUAUG
RNAcentral lists this RNase P RNA (445 nucleotides) under Neisseria sp. N95_16. Its description in RNAcentral is "RNase P RNA component class A". It matches the Rfam family "Bacterial RNase P class A". Rfam says of the family: Ribonuclease P (RNase P) is a ubiquitous endoribonuclease, found in archaea, bacteria and eukarya as well as chloroplasts and mitochondria. Its best characterised activity is the generation of mature 5'-ends of tRNAs by cleaving the 5'-leader elements of precursor-tRNAs. Lineage: Bacteria; Pseudomonadati; Pseudomonadota; Betaproteobacteria; Neisseriales; Neisseriaceae. RNAcentral also lists the same sequence under 2 other names. The record is from RNAcentral.